GGGGCCGUAGCUCAGUUGGGAGAGCGUCGCGUUCGCAAUGCGAAGGUCGUGGGUUCAACCCCCAUCGGCUCCA
RNAcentral lists this transfer RNA (73 nucleotides) under bacterium. Its description in RNAcentral is "tRNA-Ala". It matches the Rfam family "tRNA". Rfam says of the family: Transfer RNA (tRNA) molecules are approximately 80 nucleotides in length. Their secondary structure includes four short double-helical elements and three loops (D, anti-codon, and T loops). The record is from RNAcentral. RNAcentral also lists the same sequence under 5 other names.